Molecule: non-coding RNA, 561 nt
Organism: Macaca mulatta (Rhesus monkey)
Lineage: Eukaryota; Metazoa; Chordata; Mammalia; Primates; Cercopithecidae
Source: RefSeq, a predicted model, not a curated record
GUUCUCCAGGUCUGGUCUGAAUUUGGGAGGGCUGACUUGCCUAAUUUUACAGGUGUUGUGCCCAAGAGGAAUGGAGGCGGCCGGGUUUCCUUGCUUCUUUACCAAUCUACUUAUCGGUUUCCUGUUCAACUCCCUUCCUUUGCUUAAUUAAAGCAAUGAAAGGGAUCAGAAUCUAUUGGUGUUAAGAAGUCAGCCUCAGCACUAAGAGAAAGAAGGAAAGAAUGAAGGAAAGAAAGAAAGAACAAUGAAAGCAUUGUAAGAAAUAUUUAUACAGCAAAUGUUACAGAGAAAAACCCCAAACCAAAAUGUAUUUCAAAAAAUGUUGGAGGAAAUGUUAUAUCUUUUUAUGUGCUUAAGAAAACAGUUAAAAAGAACUUCACAGCAUUGGGUCUAUUAAGCACAUUUAUUCCAGUGAUUUCCCAGAUAUUUCCAAGUUCCAUUUAAAACAGAAGUCUCCUAUCAAGGAAUCCUUUGAAAUUAUUUACUCUUUUAUGGUUGUAAAGUAUGGAAAUGUAAUGCUUUUAAUGGAAACCCUAAUAAACGGCACAUGCUACAAAGUGU